This 1074-nucleotide ribosomal RNA is filed under the name Triticum aestivum (bread wheat). RNAcentral's name for it is "partial small subunit ribosomal RNA". Lineage: Eukaryota; Viridiplantae; Streptophyta; Magnoliopsida; Poales; Poaceae. The record is from RNAcentral.
AUGGAGAAGGUGCAGGCGACGUUGGAGGAGAUCCUGACCCGCUUCACCGCCAUGGAUACCAGCGUCAAGACCGUCUCCGAGGAGGUCACCAGCCUGCGCAAACAGGUAGAGGAGUUUGGCGACGAGAUGGACCACAUCAAGCACCGCGUCCACGACACCGGCAAGUCAACCCCAUCGUCCUCGUCCGCGCUGCAUCAGGAGACCACUCCGCCACCUGCCGACAAGGGCCAUGGAGUGCCGCUGCUCGCCAAUAAUCAUCCACCGCUGCUUGGAACUCCUCAACAGCAGCCGUCCGGAUUUCACACCGCGCUGUCAUCACCACACGAGCAGGAUGUGCGGCCCACCCUCCACGCCCAACCAGAUCAGGAGGAGUACCGGCCGCGUCAACCACGCCAUGAUUUUCCACGUUUCCAUGGUGAGAUGCCCCUGCUUUGGAUAGACCAGUGCUUGACUUAUUUCGAGAUGUACCGAGUGCCUGUUCAUCACUGGGUCAGUACUGCUACUCUGUACUUGGAUGGAUUGGCUGCGAUGUGGUUUCAGGCAUAUAAGCGUUUGCAUAGACGUCUCACUUGGGAUGAAUUCACGGGUGCUGUGGUGACUGAAUUUGGGCAUGACGAGUAUGAUGUUCAGAUGACUAAGUUGCAGCAGUUACGGCAAACCACUUCUGUGAAUGAAUAUAAGGCCCAAUUUGAAGAGUGUAUGUAUCAUUUGCUUUCUCUGGAUCCAACCAUGAGCACUCGCUGGUUUGUCUCUCAGUUUGUCUUUGGAUUACGAGAUGAGCUUCGUGGACCUGUGAGAUUUCAGGCUCCUACUAGUGUUACCCGCGCUGCAGCUUUGGCAAAAAUUCAGGAAGAAGAAGUGGAACACAUACGACCCAGAAAUCGUCCAGCAGCUCCAACAAAACAUCCACCACAACCUGUAGCAGGUGUGGUGCAUAGACCAGCUCUGGGACGAACAGAAUUGCCUCACCGUCAGGGCAAUGAUGAUUUUAACAGGGAACGGCAGAUCCGUGAUUUUCGGCGCGCCAAUGGUCUUUGUUUUAAAUGUGGGGAUAAGUAUUCCAAAGAGCAUUAG